GUCCGAUGAUGAGACCAAGGCGAAUACGAGCUCACUGAAGGAGAGUUGGGUUUUUCUAGCCUUGACUGGCAGGUAAUCUUGGCAGUUCAGUGGAGGGUUGCUGUUCUGCUGUAAGGGCCUGCCAACAGUGACUUAGCUAUACCCAAAUUGUUAUUCCUAAAAAGUUAUUGUGGAGUGCUUUGGGUUAUGCUGACAGUGUGUGUGUGUAUGUUGUGUGGAAAAGGUCAGAAACUUACCCAGCUCUCGUAUUUAUUCAGUGAGGUAUGAGUGUGUUCUUUGGUAAUCUGAGGGCA
Molecule: small nucleolar RNA, 293 nt
Organism: Oryzias melastigma (Indian medaka)
Lineage: Eukaryota; Metazoa; Chordata; Actinopteri; Beloniformes; Adrianichthyidae
Source: Ensembl